UUAAUAUAAUCUAGUAAUAGUAUUUCAUUGUUGAUGAAAAGGUGGAGUGAAGCUCAUAUUAAG
RNAcentral lists this transfer RNA (63 nucleotides) under Heterometrus longimanus. RNAcentral's name for it is "tRNA-Asn". The record is from RNAcentral. Lineage: Eukaryota; Metazoa; Arthropoda; Arachnida; Scorpiones; Scorpionidae.